RNAcentral lists this ribosomal RNA (756 nucleotides) under uncultured Lactobacillus sp. RNAcentral describes it as "bacterial SSU rRNA". It matches the Rfam family "Bacterial small subunit ribosomal RNA", at positions 28 to 740 of the family's 1533-position model. The record is from RNAcentral. Lineage: Bacteria; Bacillati; Bacillota; Bacilli; Lactobacillales; Lactobacillaceae.
GAUGAACGCCGGCGGUGUGCCUAAUACAUGCAAGUCGUACGCACUGGCCCAACUGAUUGAUGGUGCUUGCACCUGAUUGACGAUGGAUCACCAGUGAGUGGCGGACGGGUGAGUAACACGUAGGUAACCUGCCCCGGAGCGGGGGAUAACAUUUGGAAACAGAUGCUAAUACCGCAUAACAACAAAAGCUGCAUGGCUUUUGUUUGAAAGAUGGCUUUGACUAUCACUCUGGGAUGGACCUGCGGUGCAUUAGCUAGUUGGUAAGGUAACGGCUUACCAAGGCGAUGAUGCAUAGCCGAGUUGAGAGACUGAUCGGCCACAAUGGAACUGAGACACGGUCCAUACUCCUACGGGAGGCAGCAGUAGGGAAUCUUCCACAAUGGGCGCAAGCCUGAUGGAGCAACACCGCGUGAGUGAAGAAGGGUUUCGGCUCGUAAAGCUCUGUUGUUGGAGAAGAACGUGCGUGAGAGUAACUGUUCACGCAGUGACGGUAUCCAACCAGAAAGUCACGGCUAACUACGUGCCAGCAGCCGCGGUAAUACGUAGGUGGCAAGCGUUAUCCGGACUUAUUGGGCGUAAAGCGAGCGCAGGCGGUUGCUUAGGUCUGAUGUGAAAGCCUUCGGCUUAACCGAAGAAGUGCAUCGGAAACCGGGCGACUUGAGUGCAGAAGAGGACAGUGGAACUCCAUGUGUAGCGGUGGAAUGCGUAGAUAUAUGGAAGAACACCAGGGGCGAAGGCGGCUGUCUGGUCUGCAAC